GGUUGUUUUCCUUCCUUUCUAACAUAUGUCAGACAUGGAACAGACUGAGACUCAGCUGCUGCAUUUCUAUUAUUUAGCUCAGGGCCUAGUGAGCAACCCUGGGAAUUAGUUCCAGGUAGUUCAGCUUGCUCCUCCACUUUCUUGAAUGAAGUCCCAGCUGAAAUAGAACUAGAAUGAACUUCCUGGUGCCUUGAUCGCAAUCUCUUUAAGGGUCUUUCAGGCUCCU
Molecule: unclassified non-coding RNA, 226 nt
Filed under: Hevea brasiliensis (rubber tree)
Lineage: Eukaryota; Viridiplantae; Streptophyta; Magnoliopsida; Malpighiales; Euphorbiaceae
Source: RNAcentral